The submitters of this non-coding RNA (73 nucleotides) gave its source as unclassified sequences. The record is from Rfam.
ACUGUGGAGUGUACAAGAACCUGCAAGUAGAUAUGAUUUGUGUCAUUCAAAAGCAUACACGAUGAAGCAGUAA